CUGCAUCUCCUGUCAAAUGCUCCGUUUGACAUAAGAAAAGAGGUGGCAUAUACCCUGGGCAACCUGUGCGUCGCCCCAUCAGAUAGCCCAAGUCCUCCGAGCAUCAUUCUGCACCACCUGGUCACCCUCGUUGACCGCGGCUGCCUGCCAGGGUUCAUAAGCUUGGUCAGAUCUCCCGAUAUAGAAGCCGCGAGGCUCGGGCUUCAGUUUCUGGAACUGGUGAGCGACCCCCCGCACGAACUGCUUCGGGGAAGUCAACCCAUCUGCUUUGAAAGACAAAUAACUCGUUCCAAGGCAUGGUGCCGGAGAGGUUCUUACUUGCGUUUGUGCAGGUGAUGAGAGGCCUGCCGAACGGGGAAGGCCCGAAGAUCGUCGAGAGGGAAGACGGCAUCGACGCGAUGGAGAGGUUUCAGUUCCACGAGAACGAAGAGCUCAGGAUCAUGGCAAAUGGUCUGGUAGACAAGUACUUCGGCGAGGACUAUACGUAGACGAAGACCAUCUCCUUGUGGGUACUCCCUCUACCUGCGGAUCUUGUGUAUUAUCACGCCUUCUCUGAUCUAUCUAGACAUUUCUCUUAAAAAUAUCCGUGCCCAGUUGCAUCAGCUGUAGAAUGGUUAGAUCCGGCAGCAAAAUUGGCACGGCAUAUGGUCGGAGCCGCCAUUGUCCCCGGAGGGAGAGAUUCUAGGAUGAAUGAAACAGACCUGGAUUUUCCGUCCGCCGCCGGUGGACGCUCCGCCGCUGCCGGCGCGCGGCAUUCAUUCGUGGGGGGGAUGACGCCGGUGCCCGCCGAGCUCGGCGGCGGUGGGGCGGCGGUGUCAUCUCCCCUGCGAAAGAACGCCGGCGCGCCGCCGUAGCCCCCUCCCUCUCUCCUGUGAAC
Molecule: long non-coding RNA, 877 nt
Filed under: Spirodela polyrhiza (greater duckweed)
Lineage: Eukaryota; Viridiplantae; Streptophyta; Magnoliopsida; Alismatales; Araceae
Description: long non-coding RNA (SPOL_LNC001559)
Source: RNAcentral